GAGAGCCGUGUGAUGGGUCACUAUCCAGCACGGUUCGAAGAGCACUUUUAGUCAUUAAUUGAUAAAAAUAUCAGCCAGUCUGCCAUAU
Molecule: non-coding RNA, 88 nt
Filed under: Olea europaea subsp. europaea
Lineage: Eukaryota; Viridiplantae; Streptophyta; Magnoliopsida; Lamiales; Oleaceae
Source: RNAcentral